UGGGGAAUUUUGGACAAUGGGCGAAAGCCUGAUCCAGCAAUGCCGCGUGUGUGAAGAAGGCCUUCGGGUUGUAAAGCACUUUUGUCCGGAAAGAAAUCCUUGGCUCUAAUACAGUCGGGGGAUGACGGUACCGGAAGAAUAAGCACCGGCUAACUACGUGCCAGCAGCCGCGGUAAUACGUAGGGUGCAAGCGUUAAUCGGAAUUACUGGGCGUAAGCGUGCGCAGGCGGUUUGCUAAGACCGAUGUGAAAUCCCCGGGCUCAACCUGGGAACUGCAUUGGUGACUGGCAGGCUAGAGUAUGGCAGAGGGGGGUAGAAUUCCACGUGUAGCAGUGAAAUGCGUAGAGAUGUGGAGGAAUACCGAUGGCGAAGGCAGCCCCCUGGGCCAAUACUGACGCUCAUGCACGAAAGCGUGGGGGAGCAAACAGGAUUAGAUACCCUGGUAGUCCACGCCCUAAA
This 459-nucleotide ribosomal RNA is filed under the name uncultured bacterium. RNAcentral describes it as "partial 16S ribosomal RNA". It matches the Rfam family "Bacterial small subunit ribosomal RNA", at positions 355 to 806 of the family's 1533-position model. The record is from RNAcentral.